AUUGAACGCUAGCGGGAUGCUUUACACAUGCAAGUCGAACGGCAGCGCGGACUUCGGUCUGGCGGCGAGUGGCGAACGGGUGAGUAAUGUAUCGGAACGUGCCCAGUAGCGGGGGAUAACUACGCGAAAGCGUAGCUAAUACCGCAUACGCCCUACGGGGGAAAGCAGGGGAUCGUAAGACCUUGCACUAUUGGAGCGGCCGAUAUCGGAUUAGCUAGUUGGUGAGGUAACGGCUCACCAAGGCGACGAUCCGUAGCUGGUUUGAGAGGACGACCAGCCACACUGGGACUUAGACACCGCCCAGACUCCUACGGGAGGCAGCAGUGGGGAAUUUUGGACAAAGGGGGCAACCCUGAUCCAGCCAUCCCGCGUGUGCGAUGAAGGCCUUCGGGUUGUAAAGCACUUUUGGCAGGAAAGAAACGUCGCGGGCUAAUACCCCGUGGAACUGACGGUACCUGCAGAAUAAGCACCGGCUAACUACGUG
RNAcentral lists this ribosomal RNA (484 nucleotides) under uncultured bacterium. RNAcentral describes it as "partial 16S ribosomal RNA". It matches the Rfam family "Bacterial small subunit ribosomal RNA", at positions 30 to 507 of the family's 1533-position model. The record is from RNAcentral.